ACACGAAGUGAGUGGCGAACGGGUGAGUAACACGUGGGUAACCUGCCCAGAAGUAGGGGAUAACACCUGGAAACAGAUGCUAAUACCGUAUAACAGAGAAAACCGCAUGGUUUUCUUUUAAAAGAUGGCUCUGCUAUCACUUCUGGAUGGACCCGCGGCGUAUUAGCUAGUUGGUGAGGUAAAGGCUCACCAAGGCAGUGAUACGUAGCCGACCUGAGAGGGUAAUCGGCCACAUUGGGACUGAGACACGGCCCAGACUCCUACGGGAGGCAGCAGUAGGGAAUCUUCCACAAUGGACGCAAGUCUGAUGGAGCAACGCCGCGUGAGUGAAGAAGGGUUUCGGCUCGUAAAGCUCUGUUGUUAAAGAAGAACGUGGGUAAGAGUAACUGUUUACCCAGUGACGGUAUUUAACCAGAAAGCCACGGCUAACUACGUGCCAGCAGCCGCGGUAAUACGUAGGUGGCAAGCGUUAUCCGGAUUUAUUGGGCGUAAAGCGAGCGCAGGCGGUCUUUUAAGUCUAAUGUGAAAGCCUU
Molecule: ribosomal RNA, 533 nt
Filed under: Pediococcus pentosaceus
Lineage: Bacteria; Bacillati; Bacillota; Bacilli; Lactobacillales; Lactobacillaceae
Description: bacterial SSU rRNA
Rfam family: Bacterial small subunit ribosomal RNA
Source: RNAcentral